UGGGAAGGGGGGGGGUGUAAGAGAACGGAUCAGAAAUUCCCAAAGGUCCCGGAGAACUCCAUCUCAGGGUUUCUCCUGAAAGUUGCAAAGCUGGGGCUGUAUCUGCGGGCAGGGGGGCGGCUGGUCGCGUCGCCGCGAUUGCUCCCCAGCUGCCAGGGACAAGGGCAGGGGAGACGGGCGGGCGGACGCGGGGGGUCCAGGGGGUCUUACUUUUGUAGCUCGCUGCCCAGGGCUGGUAGCCGUAGUAGCCUGUGAUGCGCAGGAUCCGCUCCUCAAUGGACGUGAGCCCCACGGGCCCGCUAGUGAGGUCCUCCACAGAGCGCGACCAUUUCAGGUCCUCCUUAAUAGCCUCGUCCACCACCAGCAAACCAGGAAUCGAAGGGAGCUUCCCUAAAUUAGACGACCUCUACAGAAACUGACAGCUAACGUCGCAUUUCACGGAAAGAAACGUACUUGCUAAGAUCAAGAGUAG
Molecule: long non-coding RNA, 472 nt
Filed under: Mustela putorius furo (domestic ferret)
Lineage: Eukaryota; Metazoa; Chordata; Mammalia; Carnivora; Mustelidae
Description: lncRNA (ENSMPUG00000028594.1)
Source: RNAcentral